Molecule: ribosomal RNA, 692 nt
Filed under: Dehalobacter sp. UNSWDHB
Lineage: Bacteria; Bacillati; Bacillota; Clostridia; Eubacteriales; Desulfitobacteriaceae
Description: bacterial SSU rRNA
Rfam family: Bacterial small subunit ribosomal RNA
Source: RNAcentral
UGGCGGCGUGCCUAACACAUGCAAGUCGAACGGUCCGACGCCUAACACCGAAUGCUUAAGUGCAAUAGCAAGCAACAUAAGCGAGUGCGCGAGCGAAGAGAGCGCACCACGCAAAAAAAGCUUGCCAACACAUGAGUGAGCAUUGGGUGUUAGGCGAAGGAUAGUGGCGAACGGGUGAGUAACGCGUGGGUAACCUGCCCUUAAGACCGGGACAACAGCUGGAAACGGCUGCUAAUACCGGAUGUAUUAUCUGAGAGGCAUCUCUUGGAGAAGAAAGCUGGCCUCUGAAAAUGCUAGCGCUUAGGGAUGGACCCGCGUCUGAUUAGCUAGUUGGUGGGGUAAAGGCCUACCAAGGCGACGAUCAGUAGCCGGCCUGAGAGGGUAAACGGCCACACUGGGACUGAGACACGGCCCAGACUCCUACGGGAGGCAGCAGUGGGGAAUCUUCCGCAAUGGACGAAAGUCUGACGGAGCAACGCCGCGUGUAUGAAGAAGGCCUUCGGGUUGUAAAAUACUGUUGUUAGGGAAGAACGGCAUCUGUGUAAAUAAUGCAGGUGAUUGACGGUACCUAACGAGGAAGCCCCGGCUAACUACGUGCCAGCAGCCGCGGUAAUACGUAGGGGGCAAGCGUUGUCCGGAAUCAUUGGGCGUAAAGGGCGCGUAGGCGGGCUUAUAAGUCUGAUGUGAAAGUG